CUCUGUGACUCCUACGGGAGGCAGCAGUGGGGAAUUAUUGCACAAUUGGGCGCAAGCCUGAUGCAGCAACGCCGUGUGAGUGAAGAAGGUUUUCGGAUCGUAAAACUCUGUCCUAAGGGAAGAAACAAAUGACGGUACCUUAGGAGGAAGCCCCGGCUAACUACGUGCCAGCAGCCGCGGUAAUACGUAGGGGGCAAGCGUUAUCCGGAAUCACUGGGCGUAAAGGGUGCGUAGGCGGCUUAGCAAGCCAGGGGUGAAAGGCAUUGGCUCAACCAAUGUAAGCCUUUGGAACUGUUAGGCUUGAGUGCAGGAGAGGUAAGUGGAAUUCCUAGUGUAGAGGUGAAAAUUCGUAGAUAUUAGGAGGAACACCAGUGGCGAAGGCGACUUACUGGACUGUAACUGACGCUGAUGCACGAAAGCGUGGGUAGCGAACAGGAUUAGAUACCCUGGUAG
This 453-nucleotide ribosomal RNA is filed under the name uncultured bacterium. RNAcentral describes it as "bacterial SSU rRNA". It matches the Rfam family "Bacterial small subunit ribosomal RNA", at positions 328 to 793 of the family's 1533-position model. The record is from RNAcentral.